GAAACACUGAGGUUAUUUGCAACUGCACUAAGCCAUUCAACUGAUUUUCUGACCUCAACUCUACACUGCCCAUACGCUGUUCCAUUAUCUAUUUCAUCACUUUAACUAGGAGGCACUGCAGUUGAGACAUGGCAAGAAUACCUGCUCCUGAGCUCCUGAAUUGCAAUGUACCAGCAAAUAAUCUUCUUCCCAACCCUCCACACAGGUGGCUAUGCCCAAAGCAGAGUGCAGGUUCACCAGAGACGUGUCCCUGGUUCUGAGGGAAGGCACUACCAACUGGCCAGCUGGUCAGCGCU
Molecule: long non-coding RNA, 296 nt
Organism: Gallus gallus (chicken)
Lineage: Eukaryota; Metazoa; Chordata; Aves; Galliformes; Phasianidae
Source: Ensembl